UACGUAGGGUGCGAGCGUUGUCCGGAUUUAUUGGGCGUAAAGAGCUCGUAGGCGGCUUGUCGCGUCGGAUGUGAAAGCCCGGGGCUUAACUCCGGGUCUGCAUUCGAUACGGGCAGGCUAGAGUUCGGUAGGGGAGAUCGGAAUUCCUGGUGUAGCGGUGAAAUGCGCAGAUAUCAGGAGGAACACCGGUGGCGAAGGCGGAUCUCUGGGCCGAUACUGACGCUGAGGAGCGAAAGCGUGGGGAGCGAACAGG
Molecule: ribosomal RNA, 253 nt
Filed under: uncultured bacterium
Lineage: Bacteria
Description: partial 16S ribosomal RNA
Rfam family: Bacterial small subunit ribosomal RNA
Source: RNAcentral